Long non-coding RNA from Oxyura jamaicensis (ruddy duck), 1583 nucleotides. RefSeq lists it as uncharacterized. The record is from RefSeq and is a predicted model, not a curated record. The transcript is spliced from 2 exons. Lineage: Eukaryota; Metazoa; Chordata; Aves; Anseriformes; Anatidae.
GUGCCAGGCUGGUUUCUGACCUCGCUUUCCUCUUGCAGGAAUCCUUUUCCGAGCACUUGGGGUUCACUGGAGGUAUCGUGCAAGGCCUGGAUUUGUACCGCGCCUCGGGCAAAUUCGAGCUCCUAGACAGGAUCCUCCCCAAACUGCGAGCCACCAACCACAAGGUGCUGCUCUUCUGCCAGAUGACCUCCCUCAUGACCAUCAUGGAAGAUUAUUUUGCUUACCGUGGAUUCAAAUACCUCAGGCUGGACGGUGAGUGCCUGCGCCCCGCGGGGCCGGCAGCCGCCCCCGGGGCUUGACGUUAAAGCUCUGGCCUGGGGCCGAAGCGAGGUGAGCGGGGACGGAGGUAAGGUGACGGCCGGGCCCCCUUCCAGCAGCCCGAGGAGCAGAGAAACGGCGCGGCGUCGAGCAGUAAGAAAGCUGAAAGGGAGCAGGGUACAGAAUAAACGUCCUCGAGGGGCGUAGGAUAGAGAAUAAAUGCCCUCAAGGGGCGUAGGGUACAGAAUAAAUGCCCUUAAGGGGCACAAAAUAAAGAAUAAACGUCCUUAAGGGGCGUAGGGUACAGAAUAAAUGUCCUUAAGGGCACAAAAUAAAGAAUAAACGUCCUUAAGAGGUGUUGGAUAGAGAAUAAACGUCCUCGAGGGGCGCAGGAUGCAGAAUAAAUGCCCCUAAGGGACGCAGAAUAAGGAAUAAACGUCUUUAAGGGGCACAAAAUAAAGAAUAAACGUCCUUAAGGGGCGUAGGGUACAGAAUAAAUGUCCUUAAGGGGCACAAAAUAAAGAAUAAAUGUCCUUAAGGGGCAUAGGAUAGAGAAUAAACGUCCUCAAGGGGUCUAGGGUACAGAAUAAAUGCCCUUAAGGGGCGUAGGAUAGAGAAUAAAUGUCCUUAAGGGGCACAAAAUAAAGAAUAAACGUCCUUAAGAGGUGUUGGAUAGAGAAUAAACGUCCUCGAGGGGCGUAGGAUGCAGAAUAAAUGCCCCUAAGGGACGCAGAAUAAGGAAUAAACAUCUUUAAGGGGCAUAGGAUAGAGAAUAAACGUCCUUAAGGGGCAUAGGAUAAAGAAUAAACGUCCUCAAGGGGUGUAGGAUACAGAAUAAAUGCCCUUAAGGGGUGUAGGAUGCAGAAUAAAUGUCCUCAAGGGGCGAAGGGUACGGAAUAAAUGUCCUUAAAGGGCGCAGGAUAAAGAAUAAACAUCCUUAAGGGGCGCAAAAUAAAGAAUAAACGUCCUUAAGGGGCAUAGAAUACAGAAUAAAUGCCCUUAAGGGGUGUAGGAUAAGGAAUAAACGCCUUUAAGGGGCACAAAAUAAAGAAUAAACGUCUUUAAGGGGUGUAGUAUAGAGAAUAAAUGCCCUUAAGGGGCGUAGAAUAAGGAAUAAAUGUCCUUAAGGGGCACCAAAUAAAGAAUAAAUGCCCUUAAGGGGCAUAGGAUACAGAAUAAAUGCCCUUAAGGGGCACAGAAUAAGGAAUAAACGUCCUUAAGGGGCGCAAAAUGAAAAAGAAAUGUCCUUAAGGAGCGUAGGAUGAAGGAUAUACGUCCUUAAAAGGUGUAGGAUACAAAAUAAACGUCCUUAAGGGGCACAAAAU